Molecule: unclassified non-coding RNA, 310 nt
Filed under: plant metagenome
Description: partial contains 5.8S ribosomal RNA, internal transcribed spacer 2, and large subunit ribosomal RNA
Rfam family: 5.8S ribosomal RNA (bases 1-105)
Source: RNAcentral
GAAAUGCGAUAAGUAGUGUGAAUUGCAGAAUUCAGUGAAUCAUCGAAUCUUUGAACGCACAUUGCGCCCCUUGGUAUUCCAUGGGGCAUGCCUGAUCGAGCGUCAUUUGUACCCUCAAGCUCUGCUUGGUGUUGGGUGUUUGUCCCCGUCUCCGCGCGUGGACUCGCCCCAAAGUGAUUGGCAGCCGGCGUACUGGUCCCGGAGCGCAGCACAUGUCGCGCAAACGAGUGCCUUGGUACGGCGGCGUCCAUAAGCCCCUCUCUCACGCUCUUGACCUCGGAUCAGGUAGGGAUACCCGCUGAACUUAAGC